RNAcentral lists this unclassified non-coding RNA (378 nucleotides) under uncultured Bacillota bacterium. RNAcentral's name for it is "uncultured Firmicutes bacterium contains 16S-23S intergenic spacer region". The record is from RNAcentral. Lineage: Bacteria; Bacillati; Bacillota.
UCCGGUUUGUCACCGGCAGUCCCAUUAGAGUGCUCAACUGAAUGUAGCAACUAAUGGCAAGGGUUGCGCUCGUUGCGGGACUUAACCCAACAUCUCACGACACGAGCUGACGACAACCAUGCACCACCUGUCACUCUGUCCCCCGAAGGGGAACGCCCUAUCUCUAGGGUUUUCAGAGGAUGUCAAGACCUGGUAAGGUUCUUCGCGUUGCUUCGAAUUAAACCACAUGCUCCACCGCUUGUGCGGGCCCCCGUCAAUUCCUUUGGGUUUCAGCCUUGCGGCCGUACUCCCCAGGCGGAGUGCUUAAUGCGUUAGCUGCGGCACUGAUCGGGUCAAUCCGACCAACACCUAGUUCACAACGUUUAGGGCGUGGACUAC